AUAUUAUACUUAUUUAUGGAUCAAAUUUUUAUCUGAAUCACAGUAGAACUAGAGAUCAAAUCCCAAAUUAUUUGAUAUAAAUCUUUGCAGAGGUCUGGAUAUGCAGACCCUCUACUUCGCAUGCACGUCAGACGCUGCAGGAAAGUAGGAUAAACUCCAAUCCAAUUGGCUUCGCAUACACAAUCAAUCGAGGGAUAAGAUGUGAUGAUGUGAUACCUCACACCAUUAGGUAGGAUGUCAAGAAGGAUCCACACCC
RNAcentral lists this long non-coding RNA (256 nucleotides) under Elaeis guineensis (African oil palm). Its description in RNAcentral is "long non-coding RNA (EGUI_LNC066667)". The record is from RNAcentral. Lineage: Eukaryota; Viridiplantae; Streptophyta; Magnoliopsida; Arecales; Arecaceae.